RNAcentral lists this ribosomal RNA (250 nucleotides) under uncultured bacterium. RNAcentral's name for it is "partial 16S ribosomal RNA". It matches the Rfam family "Bacterial small subunit ribosomal RNA", at positions 779 to 1027 of the family's 1533-position model. The record is from RNAcentral.
UAGAUACCCUGGUAGUCCACGCCCUAAACGAUGUCUACUAGUUGUCGGGUUUUAAUUAACUUGGUAACGCAGCUAACGCGUGAAGUAGACCGCCUGGGGAGUACGGUCGCAAGAUUAAAACUCAAAGGAAUUGACGGGGACCCGCACAAGCGGUGGAUGAUGUGGAUUAAUUCGAUGCAACGCGAAAAACCUUACCUACCCUUGACAUGGAAGGAAUCCCGAAGAGAUUUGGGAGUGCCCGAAAGGGAGC